RNAcentral lists this unclassified non-coding RNA (2245 nucleotides) under Hevea brasiliensis (rubber tree). Lineage: Eukaryota; Viridiplantae; Streptophyta; Magnoliopsida; Malpighiales; Euphorbiaceae. The record is from RNAcentral.
AAUUUUUGACAUGAUUUGUUAAUUGUGUCGUGUUCAUAUCGACCUUAAUCGUAUUCAUAUCACGUGUUGACAUGACACGAACACGACACAUCAACUCGAAUUGACACCCCUACUGCUUAAAUUUUACUAAUUAAUAUUCUCUGAAGAAGCAUAUAUAUAUAUAAAGUACAUUGAACUCUCAAACCCAUCACUUCGUUAAACUAAAAAAGCCCCCAAUUUUCACUUACUUUUCCUGCCCUUUUCUGUUAACGAAACCUCUCAAUCAGACUUGAGAGCAGUUUCUGAAGUAUCUGCCCUUGAAACUAAACUGAACUUGUUUCUCCAAUCACCAAAUAACCUAUUUAACCUCAACUUUUACCAACACUAGAUCAAAGGUUUGCGCAUCAUAAAAGAGUUGGUUGGCAGAUUUCGCAACUAGUCAGAGAUAACAAACAUAUUUUAGUAUCUCUCAGACACAAAUCAGUCAUGUAUACCUAUUCACAAUUGUUUUUUAAUAUUCGCAUACAAAUAUUCCCAAAUUAUCCAUUUAAACGGCAUAAAAUCCACAAGAUGUGAAGCCUAUUCCCGAAGGAAGCAAGAAAAUUUUAUCAAAGAAAUGGAGAAAUAGAGGACAAUCCAAAACACCAGACAAAAACCAUAAGCAAAGAAAUAAGAAGCCUUACUACAAAAGACAAUUCACUAUCUUAUGCAAUGAAGUGACUGCUAUCAUAAAUUGCUCCAGUUCAAUAAGCACCACAUACAUUUCCGUUUAAAAAUGAGUCAAUAAUGGGAAAGAGGGGAAAAAAAAUAAAGGAGAUAAAUUAAUAAAGAAAAGAAAACAAUAAAAAAUAAUGGGCAAGAACCAGAAGAAGAAUCGAAGAAGGUAUAAUUUUUGCUGGAUAUUCUGCUUUAAGUAAAUACAACGGUUUUAACGUAAAAUCCAGUGACUAAGGCCCUAGUGGUUGCUGGUUCCUAGUGUGACAAAAUCAACCAAAUGGCAGGGGCCAUGAUCCAAGUAGCUAUUGCAACCCUAGAUGGCAUGGUUCUAACAAUAGAAUUUGAGCAGAGCUGAAGGGAUUAAUUCAAGCUGGAUAAGACUCGAAGGAGAAAGAACAGACAAUUAGAGAGAGAGCGAAGGAAAAAACAGAUUUCAAAAAGGGAGACACUCCAAAAUAUCAAAAAAUUCCCCUCUAAUUUUCGUGAAGAGAAGUAAAUCAAAUGCAAAGUAGUACACCAACAAUUAAUAAGCAAAUCAAAGUACUGUUUGUGAAAUCUAAAAGGUACAAAUGAAAUGGAUUGUAGUCACCACUUCUAGACGCUAACACUGACCAGAAGAGACCUAGAGAGGAAGUGCAUCAAACAAUUGCAAGCCAACAAAACCGUCGCCUGCAGCUAAUCCAUUGCAGGUGGCAAUAUUGUGAUGACGUACAUAAACUAAAUACUUAAAACAAUUAAGGAUUGAUUUCAUUCUUUAAAAACGUACUCAUUGCUUGAGAACUCAAAGAGCCUUCCUCUCUGUGAAAAGAUUAGCACUGCAACUUCUGCAUCGCAUAGAACGGAUAGCUCAUAAGCUUUCUUCAAAAGUCCAUUUCUCCGCUUCGAGAAGGUCACUUGUCGGCUUGCGGCAUUUUCGAUCCUCUUCAUCUGAAUCUUUCCUCUCACCAUUUCCAAAGAUUAAGGCAGAAACCCCAGAAAUCCUGCGAUUGCUCUAAAGAAAUCUAGCUCUACCCUUCUUUUACAAGACCAGCAGAACGGCUAAAAAUGCUUUAGCGAGCUCAAAAUAUCAAAAUUUGACAAGAAUAGUACACACCCAGAAAUGAUCUACAGAACUAACUACAAUACAAAAAUCACCCACCCGGAUAUGGAAAAUUCCGUUACAGUAAAAAAAAGAUGACGAAGCAAAGAAAAUAUAUCAAGUAUUUAAACAGCAAAUGGCAACCAGUGAUUAGGAAAGGAACUAAAUACAAAGGAGGUACAGUAGAAAAGAAAAGAAGUUGCAAACAGAAAACCCUAGAAAGAUUCACUCAACAAAACCACCCCAGAGUUGUUUACACAGAGAUUGACAUAUCAGGGUGUUUAUUUUCAUAGCAUAAAACCCUAGAUAAUCAAGAUCUCUUCGCGGAAAAGAGCAUAUAUUAUUUGCAAAAUUUAGAAAAAGCAAAAGGGGAAGAGACCAUAUUAAUAAGAAUGACAUCAAGAAACUGGAAAGCUCAUUGUUUAGUCUGUUUUGGUAAAUUUAAGAAAAAAAAUUGAAAAUAAAAAGAUA